ACUGUCUCCUUUUUCUAAUCAGUGAAACUAAUCUCCCCGUGAAGAAGCGGGGAUACUAAUAUAAGACGAGAAGACCCCAUGGAGCUUCAAACCCAACUACACCCCCAACCCCUAUAACUACUAAAUCCUUGAGGCCCUGUAUCGUUGGUUUUAGGUUGGGGCGACCACGGAGUACAACAAAACCUCCACAAUGAACGGAAUUAAUUCCUAAUCUAAGAACUACAUCUCUNANAAUUAAAAUACUAACAUAAAAUGAUCCAUUUUUUGAUUAAUGAACCAAGUUACCCUGGGGAUAACAGCGCAAUCCAUUUCAAGAGCCCCUAUCGACAAAUGGG
This 335-nucleotide ribosomal RNA is filed under the name Mantidactylus betsileanus. RNAcentral describes it as "partial 16S ribosomal RNA". It matches the Rfam family "Bacterial large subunit ribosomal RNA", at positions 2015 to 2516 of the family's 2925-position model. The record is from RNAcentral. Lineage: Eukaryota; Metazoa; Chordata; Amphibia; Anura; Mantellidae.